RNAcentral lists this ribosomal RNA (432 nucleotides) under Cephalidiosus thy. RNAcentral describes it as "partial 16S ribosomal RNA". Lineage: Eukaryota; Metazoa; Arthropoda; Insecta; Hemiptera; Tingidae. The record is from RNAcentral.
UUCUUUUUGUUGAUAUAUAUAAAGUAAGACCUGCUCAAUGAAUUUUUAAAUAGCCGCGGUUAUUAUCGUGCAAAGGUAGCAUAAUAACUUGGUUUUUAAUUGGAAUCUAGAAUGAAUGGUUUAACAAAAGAUUAACUUUCUUAAUUGGUUUUUUUAAAAUUUUAUUUUUUAGUAAAAAAGCUAAAAUGAUUUUAUGGGACGAUAAGACCCUAUAAAAUUUUAUUUAUUAAAUAAAAUUAAAUCAGUGUAAUUGAGGAUUUAAUUUUAUUUAAUAAAUUUGGUUGGGGCGAUUAUUAAAUUAAAAUAACUUUAAUUUUUAAAUUUCAUUAAUUUAUGAUUACUUGAUCCUAAUUGCGGAUUAAAAGAUUAAAUUACUUUAGGGAUAACAGCGUAAUUUUUCUUAGGAGUUCUUAUUUAAAGGGAAGUUUACGA